AAAAAUUACCUUUUCCUUUUCUUUCUAUAGGUAGACUGGCGGCGUUCAUUCAUCACCACGGAUGUGAAUCCUUACUAUGAUUCUUUUGUCAGGUGGCAGUUUUUAACAUUAAGAGAAAGAAACAAAAUAAAAUUUGGGAAGCGGUACACCAUCUAUUCUCCAAAAGAUGGACAACCUUGCAUGGAUCAUGACAGACAAACUGGAGAGGGUGUUGGACCUCAGGAAUAUACCCUAGUUAAACUGAAGGUGCUUGAACCG
Peromyscus maniculatus bairdii (prairie deer mouse) is the source of this 258-nucleotide non-coding RNA. NCBI's taxonomy places the organism in Eukaryota, Metazoa, Chordata, Mammalia, Rodentia, Cricetidae. The record is from RefSeq and is a predicted model, not a curated record.